AUAAAAAUUUGAUUUCAAAAAAAUGAAAGGGAACAAAAACUUUUGCUUAUAAUUUACUCGGAGAAUGGCUGGAUUCAUUUGACCGUGUACAGUUUUGUUUAUAAUUAGUGAAGAGAUGAAAAUAAUGAAACUGUAUGGUGCAGAAAGUGUUUUUUUCAUUGCAGUUUCUGCUGCUGGGAAAGCGGUAGAUCACUAUGGCUUCUGUACCGUGAAAUGAAGCUUAUGAUAAAUAAAAUACUGCUGCUUGCUGGUCACUGAUUGAAGAUCGUUCAGUGGCUACCAUUGGCCAAUCUCACCAACGGGAUAUAAUAAGAACUGAUGCAGGUUUAUAUCGAUUCGGAGCAAAGUUAGUACAGUUUUUAAACCGAUGUUGGAUUUUUCUCCAGAUACAGGCAACCCACUUAACUUUGGAAGUAGUGCGCUGGAUUCGUCUAAA
This is a long non-coding RNA of Armigeres subalbatus, 436 nucleotides long. RefSeq lists it as uncharacterized. NCBI's taxonomy places the organism in Eukaryota, Metazoa, Arthropoda, Insecta, Diptera, Culicidae. The record is from RefSeq and is a predicted model, not a curated record. The transcript has 3 exons.